Molecule: ribosomal RNA, 468 nt
Filed under: uncultured bacterium
Lineage: Bacteria
Description: partial 16S ribosomal RNA
Rfam family: Bacterial small subunit ribosomal RNA
Source: RNAcentral
GAUGAACGCUGGCGGCGUGCCUAACACAUGCAAGUCGAGCGAUUCUCCUCGGAGAAGAGCGGCGGACGGGUGAGUAACGCGUGGGUAACCUGCCCUGUACACACGGAUAACAUACCGAAAGGUAUGCUAAUACGAGAUAAUAUGCUUUUAUCGCAUGGUAGAAGUAUCAAAGCUCCGGCGGUACAGGAUGGACCCGCGUCUGAUUAGCUAGUUGGUAAGGUAACGGCUUACCAAGGCGACGAUCAGUAGCCGACCUGAGAGGGUGAUCGGCCAGACUGGGACUGAGACACGGCCAAGACUCCAACGGGAGGCAGCAGUCGGGAAUUUUGCUCAAUGGGCGCAAGCCUGAAGCAGCAACGCCGCGUAAGUGAUGAAGGCCUUCGGGUUGUAAACCUCUUUUUCCAGGUACGAUGAUGACGGAACCUGGAGAAUAAGCCACGGCUAACUACGUGCCAGCAGCCGCGGUAA